CAUAAUCAUUUGCCCUUUAAUUGGGGGCUUGUAUGAAUGGAUUAACUUUACCUAAUUGUCUCAAGCGUAUCUACGAAACUUUAUAUUCAAGUGAAGAAACUUGAAUUCAAAUGAAGGACCAAAAGACCCUAUAGAGCUUCACAAUAAAUGUAGAUUUAGCCCCUACAAUCUUGUUUCAUUGGGGCGAUGAUAGAGUUUCCUCCUCUACUAACUUACCUUACUCCAAAUUAAUACCUAACCCUUAUUCUAGACCAAGGAAAAGCUACCUUAGGGAUAACAGUCUAAUCCUCCUUGAAAGUUCACAUAGACAGGAGGGUUUGGCACCUCGAUGU
Molecule: ribosomal RNA, 332 nt
Filed under: Protodrilus purpureus
Lineage: Eukaryota; Metazoa; Annelida; Polychaeta; Protodrilidae
Description: partial 16S ribosomal RNA
Rfam family: Bacterial large subunit ribosomal RNA
Source: RNAcentral